CAUGGUUGUCGUCAGCUCGUGUCGUGAGAUGUUGGGUUAAGUCCCGCAACGAGCGCAACCCUUAUUGUUAGUUGCCAUCAUUCAGUUGGGCACUCUAGCGAGACUGCCGGUAAUAAACCGGAGGAAGGUGGGGAUGACGUCAAAUCAUCAUGCCCCUUAUGACCUGGGCUACACACGUGCUACAAUGGUUGGUACAACGAGUCGCAAGUCGGUGACGGCAAGCAAAUCUCUUAAAGCCAAUCUCAGUUCGGAUUGUAGGCUGCAACUCGCCUACAUGAAGUCGGAAUCGCUAGUAAUCGCGGAUCAGCACGCCGCGGUGAAUACGUUCCCGGGCCUUGUACACACCGCCCGUCACACCAC
Molecule: ribosomal RNA, 360 nt
Filed under: uncultured Streptococcus sp.
Lineage: Bacteria; Bacillati; Bacillota; Bacilli; Lactobacillales; Streptococcaceae
Description: bacterial SSU rRNA
Rfam family: Bacterial small subunit ribosomal RNA
Source: RNAcentral